CGGAAGCGGUCACUGCGGCUGGAAACCCGAGGCUCCAUGGGAGGUCCCUUAGUGUCCCUGAGCGCCUGCCUGGAGGAAGAGGGCAUCCAGUGGCUCUGCAAAUACCUGAAGAACGCGCAGGGGACGCUAAUGCAGGCUUAGGUGGACCUGAAAUUCUCAGCAUGGAUCCAAGAGUUGCAAAGAAUAUAAUUUCCAAC
Odobenus rosmarus divergens (Pacific walrus) is the source of this 197-nucleotide RNA transcript. RefSeq lists it as uncharacterized. The record is from RefSeq and is a predicted model, not a curated record. The transcript is spliced from 2 exons. NCBI's taxonomy places the organism in Eukaryota, Metazoa, Chordata, Mammalia, Carnivora, Odobenidae.